RNAcentral lists this ribosomal RNA (200 nucleotides) under uncultured bacterium. Its description in RNAcentral is "partial 16S ribosomal RNA". It matches the Rfam family "Bacterial small subunit ribosomal RNA", at positions 524 to 721 of the family's 1533-position model. The record is from RNAcentral.
UACGAGAGGCCCAAACGUUAUUCGGAAUUACUGGGCUUAAAGAGUUCGUAGGCGGCGCAGAAAGUAGGGUGUGAAAGCCCUCGGCUCAACCGAGGAAUUGCGCUCUAAACUACUGUGCUAGAGGAAGCUAGAGGUGAGCGGAACUGAUGGUGGAGCGGUGAAAUGAGUUGAUAUCAAUCAGGAACACCGGGAGGCGAAGG